ACUCCUACGGGAGGCAGCAGUAAGGAAUAUUGGGCAAUGGAGGCAACUCUGACCCAGCCAUGCCGCGUGCAGGAAGACUGCCCUAUGGGUUGUAAACUGCUUUUUCAGGGGACUAACCGUGGUUACGUGUAACUGCCUGCAUGUACCCUGAGAAUAAGCAUCGGCUAACUCCGUGCCAGCAGCCGCGGUAAUACGGAGGAUGCGAGCGUUAUCCGGAUUUAUUGGGUUUAAAGGGUGCGUAGGCUGACAUGUAAGUCAGUGGUGAAAGACCCCGGCUUAACCGGGGGGUUGCCAUUGAAACUGUAUGUCUUGAGUGUAAUCGAAGUGGGCGGAAUGAGGGGUGUAGCGGUGAAAUGCAUAGAUAUUCCUCAGAACACCGAUAGCGAAGGCAGCUCACUAGCUUACAACUGACGCUGAGGCACGAAAGCGUGGGUAUCAAACAGGAUUAGAAACCCCAGUAGUCC
RNAcentral lists this ribosomal RNA (464 nucleotides) under uncultured bacterium. RNAcentral describes it as "bacterial SSU rRNA". It matches the Rfam family "Bacterial small subunit ribosomal RNA", at positions 335 to 796 of the family's 1533-position model. The record is from RNAcentral.